This 495-nucleotide ribosomal RNA is filed under the name uncultured bacterium. RNAcentral describes it as "partial 16S ribosomal RNA". It matches the Rfam family "Bacterial small subunit ribosomal RNA", at positions 28 to 507 of the family's 1533-position model. The record is from RNAcentral.
GAUGAACGCUGGCGGCGUGCCUAAUACAUGCAAGUAGAACGCUGAAGGAGGAGCUUGCUCUUCUGGAUGAGUUGCGAACGGGUGAGUAACGCGUAGGUAACCUGCCUGGUAGCGGGGGAUAACUAUUGGAAACGAUAGCUAAUACCGCAUGACAACAGUUAUUGCAUGAUAACUGUUUAAAAGGGGCAACUGCUCCACUACCAGAUGGACCUGCGUUGUAUUAGCUAGUUGGUGAGGUAACGGCUCACCAAGGCGACGAUACAUAGCCGACCUGAGAGGGGGAUCGGCCACACUGGGACUGGGACACGGCCCAGACUCCUACGGGAGGCAGCAGUAGGGAAUCUUCGGCAAUGGACGGAAGUCUGACCGAGCAACGCCGCGUGAGGGAAGAAGGUUUUCGGAUCGUAAAGCUCUGUUGUAAGAGAAGAACGAGUGUGAGAGUGGAAAGUUCACACUGUGGCGGUAUCUUACCAGAAAGGGACGGCUAACUACGUG